RNAcentral lists this ribosomal RNA (911 nucleotides) under uncultured Bacteroides sp. Its description in RNAcentral is "bacterial SSU rRNA". It matches the Rfam family "Bacterial small subunit ribosomal RNA", at positions 11 to 918 of the family's 1533-position model. Lineage: Bacteria; Pseudomonadati; Bacteroidota; Bacteroidia; Bacteroidales; Bacteroidaceae. The record is from RNAcentral.
GUUUGAUCCUGGCUCAGGAUGAACGCUAGCUACAGGCUUAACACAUGCAAGUCGAGGGGUAGCAGGAAAGAAGCUUGCUUCUUUUGCUGACGACCGGCGCACGGGUGAGUAACACGUAUCCGACCUACCGUUUACUCGGGGAUAGCCUUUCGAAAGAAAGAUUAAUACCCGAUAGCAUAAGAGGACCGCAUGGUUUUCUUAUUAAAGAAUUUCGGUAAUCGAUGGGGAUGCGUUCCAUUAGAUAGUAGGUGAGGUAACGGCUCACCUAGUCUGCGAUGGAUAGGGGUUCUGAGAGGAAGGUCCCCCACACUGGUACUGAGACACGGACCAGACUCCUACGGGAGGCAGCAGUGAGGAAUAUUGGUCAAUGGGCGAGAGCCUGAACCAGCCAAGUAGCGUGAAGGAUGACUGCCCUAUGGGUUGUAAACUUCUUUUGUAUGGGAAUAAAAUGCGGUACGUGUACCGUUUUGUAUGUACCAUUCGAAUAAGCAUCGGCUAACUCCGUGCCAGCAGCCGCGGUAAUACGGAGGAUGCGAGCGUUAUCCGGAUUUAUUGGGUUUAAAGGGAGCGUAGGUGGAUUGAUAAGUCAGUUGUGAAAGUUUGCGGCUCAACCGUAAAAUUGCAGUUGAUACUGUCAGUCUUGAGUACAGUAGAGGUGGGCGGAAUUCGUGGUGUAGCGGUGAAAUGCUUAGAUAUCACGAAGAACUCCGAUUGCGAAGGCAGCUCACUGGACUGCAACUGACACUGAGGCUCGAAGUGUGGGUAUCAAACAGGAUUAGAUACCCUGGUAGUCCACACAGUAAACGAUGAAUACUCGCUGUUUGCGAUAUACUGCAAGCGGCCUAGCGAAAGCAUUAAGUAUUCCACCUGGGAGUACGCCGGCACGGUGAAACUCAAAGGAAUUGACGGGG